AUUGAACGCUGGCGGCAUGCCUAACACAUGCAAGUCGAACGGCAGCAUGAGUAGAGCUUGCUCUACUUGAUGGCGAGUGGCGAACGGGUGAGUAAUGUAUCGGAACGUGCCCAGUUGUGGGGGAUAACUGCUCGAAAGAGCAGCUAAUACCGCAUACGACCUGAGGGUGAAAGCGGGGGAUCGCAAGACCUCGCGCAAUUGGAGCGGCCGAUAUCAGAUUAGGUAGUUGGUGGGGUAAAGGCUCACCAAGCCGACGAUCUGUAGCUGGUCUGAGAGGACGACCAGACACACUGGGACUGAGACACGGCCCAGACUCCUACGGGAGGCAGCAGUGGGGAAUUUUGGACAAUGGACGGAAGUCUGAUCCAGCCAUGCCGCGUGCGGGAAGAAGGCCUUCGGGUUGUAAACCGCUUUUGUCAGGGAAGAAAAGGCUCCUUCUAAUAUAGGGGGCUCAUGACGGUACCUGAAGAAUAAGCACCGGCUAACUACGUGCCAGCCGCCGCGGUAA
RNAcentral lists this ribosomal RNA (508 nucleotides) under uncultured bacterium. RNAcentral's name for it is "partial 16S ribosomal RNA". It matches the Rfam family "Bacterial small subunit ribosomal RNA", at positions 30 to 523 of the family's 1533-position model. The record is from RNAcentral.